GUCUACGGCCCUGCCACCCUGAACGUGCCCAAUCCCGUCUGAUCUCGGAAGCUAAGCAGGGUCGGGCCUGGUGAAUACUUGGAUGGGAGACCACCUUGGAAUACCAGGUGAUGUAGGCA
This 119-nucleotide ribosomal RNA is filed under the name Pteropus alecto (black flying fox). Lineage: Eukaryota; Metazoa; Chordata; Mammalia; Chiroptera; Pteropodidae. The record is from RNAcentral.